This 253-nucleotide ribosomal RNA is filed under the name uncultured bacterium. Its description in RNAcentral is "partial 16S ribosomal RNA". It matches the Rfam family "Bacterial small subunit ribosomal RNA", at positions 524 to 776 of the family's 1533-position model. The record is from RNAcentral.
UACGUAGGGUGCAAGCGUUGUCCGGAAUUAUUGGGCGUAAAGAGCUCGUAGGCGGUUUGUCGCGUCUGCUGUGAAAACUCAGGGCUUAACCCUGAGCCUGCAGUGGGUACGGGCAGACUAGAGUGUGGUAGGGGAGACUGGAAUUCCUGGUGUAGCGGUGGAAUGCGCAGAUAUCAGGAGGAACACCGAUGGCGAAGGCAGGUCUCUGGGCCACUACUGACGCUGAGAAGCGAAAGCAUGGGGAGCGAACAGG